GAUGAACGCUAGCGGCAGGCUUAACACAUGCAAGUCGAGGGGCAGCACGUCUUCGGAUGGUGGCGACCGGCGCACGGGUGCGUAACGCGUAUACAAUCUACCUUUUACAGGGGCAUAGCCCGGGGAAACCCGGAUUAAUAUCCCAUGGUAUCAAGACAUGGCAUCAUGAUUUGAUUAAAGUUUCGGCGGUAAAAGAUGAGUAUGCGUCCUAUUAGCUAGAUGGUAAGGUAACGGCUUACCAUGGCUACGAUAGGUAGGGGUCCUGAGAGGGGGAUCCCCCACACUGGAACUGAGACACGGACCAGACUCCUACGGGAGGCAGCAGUGAGGAAUAUUGGACAAUGGGCGAGAGCCUGAUCCAGCCAUGCCGCGUGCAGGAAGACUGCCCUAUGGGUUGUAAACUGCUUUUAUACGGGAAGAAACACCUCCACGCGUGGAGGCUUGACGGUACCGUAUGAAUAAGGAUCGGCUAACUCCGUGCCAGCCGCCGCGGUAA
RNAcentral lists this ribosomal RNA (496 nucleotides) under uncultured bacterium. Its description in RNAcentral is "partial 16S ribosomal RNA". It matches the Rfam family "Bacterial small subunit ribosomal RNA", at positions 28 to 523 of the family's 1533-position model. The record is from RNAcentral.